CUCAUUAUUCUUUCACAACCCUAAAGAAAUAGUUGCAGCUAUCUCUCCCUCCUACCGCCACCACCAAGAUCCCUCCUAAGUUCCACAAAAUCUCACCCAUUUCCCAUUCGCCCAUUCAUUGUUCACUCUAAAAACCCUAGCGGCCUUCCUCAUGUUUUCUCUGCAGAUUCAUAUGUUGAAGAGUUUUACAAUCACAAAACCCUAGCCUUCAUCAUCUUACGAUUCUAAUUCAAGACAAUGAUUAGGGUUUUCUUCUGAACACAAAGGAGUGUCGCUUUUUCAUUCAAUUUUGCUUACUGGAUGUAAUUUCGGUAGCCCGACAAGUAGAUAGGCUUUCUAAGCUUUCCUAGCGAAGUUGAAACUGUUGGUUAUGGCAUAGAGAUAUGGACAUAAAGAGAACCAGGGGGAUGUUGUGUUGCUGCCUUUUUUUUCUUCUGCUUUGGUUCUACGGCUGAGGUUUGUAUCCCGCUACCGAAUUUCACUGCCGGCAGAAGGCUGGAUUUAAAGAGCCACAACGCCGAGCCGUAUCCAUUGACUUAAUACAUUCAGGUUCAAUAAGCUGUUAGCCUGAUUCACAACAUGUUUAAGUGGCAUGGUUACAACUUUUUACCGUUCAUUCAGUUUGCUCCUUUAAGUUUCAGAUAUCCAAUAUGUGCAGGAUUUGAUAUUCGCUUAUGUGCAUGAUUUACGCUUUAGUUGCAUACUCGCUUUUAUUAUUAAGUGAACUAUUUUCACAAUUUCUUUUUGGCCGACUUUGAUUGUUUCAAUCAAUAGGUGUUUAGGAGUUGUGUGGAUGGUUAAAAGUAACAAUUGCAAGCAGCGUGGAGAGACAUAUCAUGGGAUCCAGCCAGGUUAUGUAGUUGGUUUUUCUUUUUAAAUUACUCUCAACAUUCCAUCAAUAUGCUAAACUAUUCAUACUUUUUUCUAUAAGCAAGAAAGAUUAAUUGUUCGAAUGUGUAAGAUGUUGUCUGAACAAAGAUUCAUUGUCUAAUGUGUAAGAUGUUGUCUGACCCACGGGUAAUCAAUGAACUCUACAAUAUUUAGAUGUCUUACUGAUCCAGGUUUGUACAUGCUUCCCAUCUCCAGUCUUACUUUCAUUACCACAAGAAACACGUUCAUCCGUCCCAUUAUAUUUGCAAAAAUUACCUUUUAAGUAUAGUUUAGAGCUUCAAUGUAUUUUGUUUUUAAUUAGUUUUCAUUGAAUGGAAGAAGUUAGAGAUGAUAAAAUGGGUGGGUUGAGUAACAGGUAGACAAUUUAGUCUAAACUUGUGGUAUUUUAGUAUGAGCUAAAAAAGGCUAGGGUUAACCCAUUGUCUAAAAACUUUCUUAAAUAUAUGCUGAUUUGGUACAUUUUGGAUGGUGUUGUUACAGGCUGACAAGUCUAUGUAGCAUAAGAUAGCAUCACGCCUUAAUGUGCAUUUUUUUUCACCCCAAAGUGUAUUUGAGUAAUAACUUUAGUGGUCUAAAAUGCUAUGAAGGAGACUCACUUUGAAAAUGAAAGAGAAUGUAACCAAGUUCCAUCGAGAAAUGAAACAAAGGCUGAAUACCGAAUGUGAAAAGGAAAUAGCGGAAAUUGUUGCUGAAAUAAGGCUCAAGUAUUCAGCUAAACAUGUAGAAGCAGAUGCAGCUUAUAACUCAAAAAAGAUGGAUCUUGAGACCAAUAUCAAUAGAGUAAUCUUGAACAGAUUAUUGGCCAAAGCUUUCAGAUGUAGGGGUCAAGACUCUCGGGCUGAAAUAAUGCAGCAACUGCCUAGGUUAUUGGUUUCACCUUCUGUGAGGAUUUUCCAUGGUCAGUCUUUAUGAAUCCAGCAGCCUCCACAACCACCAUCGUCACGGCCACCUCUUAAUGUAGUUCACAAACCAGCAGCUCUGUUCUCAACCACACCGAGCAGGCUACGACCACUACCUGCUCUCUUGCAUUAGCUACUAUACUGAUGUCACUCUUCUGAUCAACCGAUCGAGGCUCCUCUGUAUUUUCGCAGUACGCAACCCACAGGGCACCACUACUGUUCUAUGCCACGAACAAAGGCUUCACCAUGUCAUUAGUGGAGAAACGGUUCGGUGCUCCAUAUGAUACAACCUUUUUUCGCUUAGUAAUGAGGUUUACAAUGCAAUGCACUGAUGGAAAACAUCAUAAGAAACCUUGAUUUUGACUUCCGGAGGUUUUGGAAGAUGGUGUUAAAGUGCUUAUAUAUGUUGGAGAAGAUUUCUUUCUUUGCAGCCCGGCUUGCCAUUUAAGCGCUUCAGUGACGUUUUGGUCAGGUUUUGUGGUGGUUCCGGCUAAAGCAGCGGGUGAAAGACUUCCGCAUAUCACAGAGAGAUUCAAGAACAUUUAAUAUUGUUUUGUAAUGUUUUGAAUAUAUUUUGUUUGCUGUACUAAAUGAAUGAAACUAUGCGUGUAUUUGGACCACAUAGCACCUUGCUAUGUGAAAAAACUUCCCAAAAAAAAGAAGCCUACUUGGUUUCAAAAAAGGAGCAACCAAACUCACCAGAAAGUUUAUAAAUUCAUAAUUAAUUUUCAUAGCCACA
Helianthus annuus (common sunflower) is the source of this 2529-nucleotide long non-coding RNA. RefSeq lists it as uncharacterized. The record is from RefSeq and is a predicted model, not a curated record. Lineage: Eukaryota; Viridiplantae; Streptophyta; Magnoliopsida; Asterales; Asteraceae. The transcript is spliced from 9 exons.